UAAAUGACUUCCACCGAUGCAAUUCAAACGCCAAACCUCCUAAUCUUUGGUGAUGUUUUUAACUACUUCGUCUACCUAAUUGAGGCCACAAACUUGCAAAAAUAAUGAUAAUGAAAAGUUCGUCAACUGACGAAACUAUGGUCCGUAACGAACCUGGAUAAAUCUAGACGACUUUUCGUGAAAUUCGCGAGAAAUGUGAAAUCAAGAGUAGCACUGUAAAACAUAGUAAUCCUGGGGAUGUUUUACAAUAUUUCAUCGUUUGGGAUGUCCUAGGAUUAGUUCCCGUGGUUUUAUUCAGUGUUAUGUAUUAUUUUCUACUAGAAAUUCACCUUUUUUGGACCUCUACACCGCUGACCAGGUUCACCUCCUGCCUGGUUACCCUAGCAACGCAUCGGGCUCUCUCCAGGUAGUGUUUUACGUUCAGCAGCCCCUUGGACUCUUCAUCGGAGAUGCUGCGGUCCUGCCUCGCGACAUUCUGGUACACAUUGUUAAAACUAACAAGUCCACGCUCGAGACAGCUAUCGGAGCAAACAUCUCUGACGUAGAAGCUUGGUCCAAACCGACUGAGUCACCAACAGUGGGGUCAGCCGAGCCAAGCAGCAAUGACUGGAAGUGGAUUGCGAUUGGUAUUGGUGCAGGAGUGGUCGUUAUCAUCUUGAUAGUUAUAUUGGUGUUUUGGUGCCUGAAAAAGAAAGUCAAAUCUGAGGUGAAUCCUGUGAUGGAACUUUCGCCUCCAGAAGGAACACCUAUGGAAAAUUACGGCCAGUCAGUUUCAAGCCUGGAAUAUGGAGUUCACAAAGAGAAGGCGUCACACCAAACUUAAAAGAAAAGAUAACAGCGUUUUCCGAACGUCGCUGCUUAUUUACCUAUUUCGUUAACGUAUUUCCAUCUUUGUGCAUAGUAGCACGAUACGAGACGAGUUAACCAACUCAGCAAUUUUUUAAAGCCUUUAGCGGCAGACGUGGUAUCCUAGAGUAAUCUCGAACCCUGAUUGCCACGGCCAAGCGUGAAACAGCCCGAGGGCGAGAUUAGUGGGACCUGGGUACGACAUUAAGACUAAGCAUAGCGCGUUGGAUAGUCAUGCAUUAUUUUGACUUUACUCUCACGAUCCCUUUCCCCAGCCAGGAGAUAUAACAAGAAAUAGACACCGGUGAGCUCUUGUAGCGCCCUAACAAAAUGCGAAGGGUGGGAAGUAACCUACGGAGUCGUAAAAGUAAAUAGCCAGCAGUUGUGGGGUCUUAGGUUCUUAAACACUUACCUUUUCACCUUUCAGGACCCGCGAACAUACCACGGGUUCUUGAGUCAGCUGUUUAUCAUAAGGAUGAGCCAUGUUGCCUAGCAAACUCCUGUCAAGAAAACCACGGGCUCAAUUUAACAUUGCUAUUAGCCUGUCAGUGUUACGACUGUGAAAUCUGUAUUAACUGCUGCAGUUUAACCCUGUUUCGAUUCCUGCACCGGUUUUGGUAAUUGUAGUUGUAGUAGUAGUGUUAGGUCGUGCAAUUUGUACACUAAAAUACACAGGCGACGCUCUCCUAAUAAGUACCCCCACUAGGCGGAAACCUCCCGUAAGCGAACACUUAGUAAUGAUCCCAACCACUGCAUUUCUAACCUCGCAUAUGCGGGCUCUACUGUUAAAAUUAAGCGGACACUUUUUCUAGUCCCAACGGUGUCCGCUUACAGAAGGUUCGACUGUACUUUCAUAUUUUCGUGCAUGGAGACGUCUCUAAAUUUCUACUUGUAGAUCUUCACACAAUCGUAGGCGACUAUAGUUACGAGUGAUUUCGCUGUAUUAAUAUGGUAUCAUAACACAAAAAUAGAUCUGAGCUGUUUUGCGUGUGAUCACUUAAAACUCUUUUGAGAAGUAGUCUCCCUGUGGUUUACGGAGUGUACAUAUGAGGCAGGCAAUAUCUUUUGGCUCUUUUUUGUUGUAGUUACAUUAUUAAGGGGAGGGGGAAAUCUUUAAGUGACUUGAGACCUGCCUAGCUUGGGACUUGUAACUUUUAACUUAGUCAUCCCCGGAAAAUAGUGCCACUGAAGUCUAGAGAGCGGUCAGGAUCCUCUAAAACCCCUCUAUUAGUAAGUACCUUUGAGAAGUAAGAGAUACAAACUAGAUAGAACUUUUGGCGAACGACUUCUUUAAAACACACCAGACAGUUGAGUUUGUGAGUCCAGGAAGGAAAUAGUUUAAACUUCAACGCGGGAGAACUAGGUGAUGCGCUUUAAAUUUACAGGCUAUAAGUUCUAAUUAUCAAAAUUUGUUUUACUAGGACGGUUUUCCUUUUAGGAAAGACAGCUUUCUUAACAAUGAUUGAAGAAUCUCAACAAAACAAAAAUGGAAAUUCCACUAUAUUGCGGUUUUUUAAAUUUUUCGCUGGUUCUCUGUUCCAUUAUUCCUAAUGUAGAUUUUCAUUUUGAUUAUCGUUCAGAUUUAGAAAACAGCCCAAAUAAAAUGCGCUGAUUGACUAAAUAACACUGAAACUUGAAUCGUAGGUUACCACAGAGUGCAAAUUCAAACACAGGUAAUAUCAGCGUCACAGUCAGUCAGUGUAUCUACAAAAACAACCCAUGAGUUAAAGGCUAGAAAGUCAUUAAUGACAGUGGUGUAUAUAGUGGGUUUGCUUUGGCUGUUAUUGCCAUUUUCUUGUGUUCUUGUAAGCCAGCUUAUUGUAGGACCCAAACCAUCUCUAAGAACAGCUUAUGGUAUAACAGCGACAGCGGUAUUUGCAAAUUAAAUUGUAAAUCCUGGACUCUACUGUUGACGAAUUGGGGAAACGUGAAGUUUUUUUAGUUGAUAGUGUGAUGUUGAGGUGUAACGUUUCCCGCGGUUCUGAGGGUCGCGCGCCUGGCGUUCUCCUUUGAAAACUAUUAUCAGAUUUCUUUCAAUCUCCCCUAAUAAAAUAAAACUGUUAUUUUAGGGCAAAA
Molecule: long non-coding RNA, 2922 nt
Filed under: Orbicella faveolata
Lineage: Eukaryota; Metazoa; Cnidaria; Anthozoa; Scleractinia; Merulinidae
Description: uncharacterized LOC110047372
Source: RNAcentral